GAUGAGGAAACUAAGCCUGAGAAGUUAAGGAGCCAGUUCAUCAGUGCAGUGCACAGGAAAUACCUUAUCAAGGACACAAUCUCCAACAUCGAUGGACAGCCAGGAGUUGCAGAGGAAAUACCACUUCCGGUCCAUCACCAGGUCAUAGACCAGCACCCGGCUCACAUACCUGGAGAAGGGACCCACGGUUUUGAGGAUAAGGAAGGACAGUCCUGUAGCAAUGCAAAAGCCCUCUCUGUCAAGGUCACAAGCCCUUCUGGGGCAGCUGACAUCCAAUGAUGCAGUGCUUACAGUGAUCAAGACCUGGGUAUCUCAACCCAUCUUGGGACAGCUCCAGAGCUCCCCAGCGGCGGGCCACGCUGUUGCCGGGCUGCGU
Callithrix jacchus (white-tufted-ear marmoset) is the source of this 376-nucleotide long non-coding RNA. RefSeq lists it as uncharacterized. The record is from RefSeq and is a predicted model, not a curated record. Lineage: Eukaryota; Metazoa; Chordata; Mammalia; Primates; Cebidae.